AGGGUGCCAUAACUCCGAGCUUAACUUGCUAAGUCGUGUUUUACGAUAAGCAGCUUAAGCCAGUGGCAAAAGGCCACAAGGGCGACAUUGGAAAUGAUCUCGCCUCCCGUAUUUGGAAAGGUGUUCCGUGGCGCAACAA
Molecule: non-coding RNA, 139 nt
Filed under: Vibrio sp.
Lineage: Bacteria; Pseudomonadati; Pseudomonadota; Gammaproteobacteria; Vibrionales; Vibrionaceae
Description: MoCo sequence
Rfam family: Molybdenum/Tungsten riboswitch aptamer (Moco RNA motif)
Source: RNAcentral